Molecule: long non-coding RNA, 245 nt
Filed under: Prunus dulcis (almond)
Lineage: Eukaryota; Viridiplantae; Streptophyta; Magnoliopsida; Rosales; Rosaceae
Description: sRNA ncRNA
Source: RNAcentral
UAUAUAUAUAUAUAUGUUUUCUCCCAAGAUUUUUAUUAUUUUUUCUUCUUUUUUGUUUUUGGUUUGUGAGGGAGGCUGAGUGAGUGCUUGGAAUUUGAGGGUUGGAGAUGUGAAAUUUGAGUGGAUGUUGCUGCUUCCUAGGCCAUUCAUUUAAAUCAUGAAUUCUUAAUCAUUUUUUCUUCUGCUUACACAUGCUCAUUUCUGAAAUAUCUCCAAAGUACACAAGCUGAUAAGGUCUCUUCCAC